Molecule: long non-coding RNA, 570 nt
Organism: Rattus norvegicus (Norway rat)
Lineage: Eukaryota; Metazoa; Chordata; Mammalia; Rodentia; Muridae
Source: Ensembl
CUAUUAUUUAUGCAGCUGUUUCUAGGGCAGAUUGUUUUAAAUCAGGCUUCCUGGUGUUCUGGUUCCUAACACUCUUUCCACCCUCUCUUCCAUGAUUUUUCCUGAACCACAGAUUCAGACGCUGUGAUGUAGAUGCACCUGUUGAGGCUGGGCUCCCAACAAUCUCUUGACCUCUGCCUUGUAUCCAGUUUUGGUGGUGAUGGUCUCCCUUUGCUUUUACAGGCCACUUAAAUACCGGUACACCAUGCACCUGAGAUCUCAGCAUCUGGGAGGCUGAAGCGGGAAGAAGAUUGUUCUAAGUCUGAGGCCCAACUUCAAGAUGAUGGAAUCAGAUCCUGUCCAGGAAAGGAUGAUGUCAGAAGAUGGAAAAAUCUCAGACGCGUCCUUACCAGAGAGACAGCUGAAAGAAAUUAUAUUCUACACGCGCAGGUGAAAUCUCUGGUAAAUAAUCACUGAAAGUGGUCAGGGCUGGUUGGCGGCAGCGAGAACUUACAAAUGAGAGUUAGCUGUUCCCACCAUUUCCAGCUUCCUCCCUGCUCAAAGGGUGUGCAUCGGCUUUGCCUUUGGUAG